This 313-nucleotide long non-coding RNA is filed under the name Phoenix dactylifera (date palm). Its description in RNAcentral is "long non-coding RNA (PDAC_LNC009428)". Lineage: Eukaryota; Viridiplantae; Streptophyta; Magnoliopsida; Arecales; Arecaceae. The record is from RNAcentral.
GACCGCGCUCUACACAUUCCCUUUCUCCAAAGAAGAGGUGGUGGGGGCAUGGGCUACGCAAGAAAAAGGUUUUUUAGUAGCAUCAGGAGGAAUCGGUACCUUGUGAAAUAUUCAAAAGAUCCUCUUUUCCCGUUUUCCCCUUCAUCUAUUCCUCUCUCUGGCUCUCAACUGUUUGAUCAUGCUGCCCCGGUGAUUAACUGUGCCACUUUAGGCACGCAUUUUGUACCUUUUUCUUCCAAACGUUUUUUCUUUUUGACUAUUUAAUCCUUCACUGGUAGCUUAUAGUUAGAUAUUCAGUCUCUAAAACCGACUC